Molecule: unclassified non-coding RNA, 242 nt
Filed under: Hevea brasiliensis (rubber tree)
Lineage: Eukaryota; Viridiplantae; Streptophyta; Magnoliopsida; Malpighiales; Euphorbiaceae
Source: RNAcentral
GAUACUCAAAUUGAAGUUGAAUGAGUUUUAAAUAAAAAAAUUAAAGUUGAGUAACUUUUAUGAUAUAACUUAUAAAAUUGAGUGAUCUUGAGUAACAAGGGUUUGGCAUCAAGGUUGGAUGGUUAGAAAAUUGCUUUUUCAAGAAGUACCCUUUUAGGUGGUGUUGAAAAUUAGUUUGAAAAUUAAUUAUUUUAAAAUUAUUUGUUUUAUAAUUGUUAUGACUAAAAUAUGUCAUAUGUAAU